This 256-nucleotide ribosomal RNA is filed under the name uncultured bacterium. RNAcentral describes it as "partial 16S ribosomal RNA". It matches the Rfam family "Bacterial small subunit ribosomal RNA", at positions 524 to 776 of the family's 1533-position model. The record is from RNAcentral.
UACGUAGGGGGGCAAGCGUUUGUUCGGAUUCAUUGGGCGUAAAGGGCGCGUAGGCGGCCACCGCAAGUCGGUUGUGAAAUCUCCGGGCUUAACCCGGAAAGGUCAAUCGAUACUGCGGGGCUAGAGUGCAGAAGGGGCAACUGGAAUUCUCGGUGUAGCGGUGAAAUGCGUAGAUAUCGAGAGGAACACCUGCGGCGAAGGCGGGUUGCUGGGCUGACACUGACGCUGAAGCGCGAAAGCUAGGGGAGCGAACGGG